CCGGAAGUCACUGCUAUUGGGAUUCGACUAAGCCAUGCGAGUCGAGAGGGUUCGGCCCUCGGCAGACGGCUCAGUAACACGUGGAUAAUCUGCCCUUAGGUGGAGGAUAACCUCGGGAAACUGAGAAUAAUACUCCAUAGAUCUAGGAUGCUGGAAUGCACUUAGAUUGAAAGUUCCGGCGCCUAAGGAUGAGUCUGCGGACUAUCAGGUAGUAGUCAGGGUAAAGGCCUGACUAGCCUACGACGGAUACGGGUUGUGAGAGCAAUAACCCGGAGACGAUAUCUGAGACACGAUAUCGGGCCCUACGGGGCGCAGCAGGCGCGAAACCUUCACAAUGUGCGAAAGCGCGAUGAGGGGAUCCCAAGUGCUUGCUCGUAAGAGUAAGCUGUUUUUAUGUCUAAAACGCAUAGAGAGUAAGGGCUGGGUAAGACGGGUGCCAGCCGCCGCGGUAAUACCUGCAGCUCAAGUGGUGACCGCUAUUAUUGGGCCUAAAACAUUCGUAGCCGGUUUGGUAAAUGCCUGGGUAAAUCGUGUAGCUUAACUAUACGAAUUCCGGGUAGACUGCCAAACUUGAGACCGGGAGAAGCUAGAGGUACUCCUUGGGUAGAGGUGAAAUUCUGUAAUCCUAGGGGGACCACCAGUGGCGAAGGCGUCUAGCUAGAACGGGUUUGACGGUGAGGAAUGAAGCCCUGGGGCGCAAACCGGAUUAGAUACCCGGGUAGUCCAGGGUGUAAACGCUGCUUGCUUGAUGUUAGUUGGGCUCCGAGCCCAAUUAGUGUCGGAGAGAAGUUGUUAAGCAAGCUGCCUGGGAAGUACGAUCGCAAGAUUGAAACUUAAAGGAAUUGGCGGGGGAGCAC
RNAcentral lists this ribosomal RNA (857 nucleotides) under uncultured archaeon. RNAcentral's name for it is "bacterial SSU rRNA". It matches the Rfam family "Archaeal small subunit ribosomal RNA", at positions 17 to 879 of the family's 1478-position model. The record is from RNAcentral.